UAACCUGCCUGGUAGCGGGGGAUAACUAUUGGAAACGAUAGCUAAUACCGCAUAAUAGUAGAUGUUGCAUGACAUUUACUUAAAAGGUGCAAUUGCAUCACUACCAGAUGGACCUGCGUUGUAUUAGCUAGUUGGUGGGGUAACGGCUCGCCAAGGCGACGAUACAUAGCCGACCUGAGAGGGUGAUCGGCCACACUGGGACUGAGACACGGCCCAG
This 217-nucleotide ribosomal RNA is filed under the name uncultured bacterium. RNAcentral's name for it is "partial 16S ribosomal RNA". It matches the Rfam family "Bacterial small subunit ribosomal RNA", at positions 122 to 334 of the family's 1533-position model. The record is from RNAcentral.